AACCCAGUGCAAUUCGUUGCACUAUCGUUAACUGAAUACAUAGGUUAACGAGGCGAACCGGGGGAACUGAAACAUCUAAGUACCCCGAGGAAAAGAAAUCAACCGAGAUUCCCCCAGUAGCGGCGAGCGAACGGGGAGCAGCCCAGAGUCUGAAUCAGCUUGUGUGUUAGUGGAACGGUCUGGAAAGUCCGACGGUACAGGGUGAUAGUCCCGUACACCAAAAUGCACAGGUUGUGAACUCGAAGAGUAGGGCGGGACACGUGGUAUCCUGUCUGAAUAUGGGGGGACCAUCCUCCAAGGCUAAAUACUCCUGACUGACCGAUAGUGAACCAGUACCGUGAGGGAAAGGCGAAAAGAACCCCGGCGAGGGGAGUGAAAAAGAACCUGAAACCGUGUACGUACAAGCAGUGGGAGCACCUUCGGGUGUGACUGCGUACCUUUUGUAUAAUGGGUCAGCGACUUAUAUUCUGUAGCAAGGUUAACCGUAUAGGGGAGCCGCAGGGAAACCGAGUCUUAACUGGGCGUUAAGUUGCAGGGUAUAGACCCGAAACCCGGUGAUCUAGCCAUGGGCAGGUUGAAGGUUGGGUAACACUAACUGGAGGACCGAACCGACUAAUGUUGAAAAAUUAGCGGAUGACUUGUGGCUGGGGGUGAAAGGCCAAUCAAACCGGGAGAUAGCUGGUUCUCCCCGAAAGCUAUUUAGGUAGCGCCUCGUGAAUUCAUCUUCGGGGGUAGAGCACUGUUUCGGCUAGGGGGUCAUCCCGACUUACCAACCCGAUGCAAACUACGAAUACCGAAGAAUGUUAUCACGGGAGACACACGGCGGGUGCUAACGUCCGUCGUGAAGAGGGAAACAACCCAGACCGCCAGCUAAGGUCCCAAAGUCAUGGUUAAGUGGGAAACGAUGUGGGAAGGCACAGACAGCCAGGAUGUUGGCUUAGAAGCAGCCAUCAUUUAAAGAAAGCGUAAUAGCUCACUGGUCGAGUCGGCCUGCGCGGAAGAUGUAACGGGGCUAAACCAUGCACCGAAGCUGCGGCAGCGACACUAUGUGUUGUUGGGUAGGGGAGCGUUCUGUAAGCCUGCGAAGGUGACCUGUGAGGGUUGCUGGAGGUAUCAGAAGUGCGAAUGCUGACAUAAGUAACGAUAAAGCGGGUGAAAAGCCCGCUCGCCGGAAGACCAAGGGUUCCUGUCCAACGUUAAUCGGGGCAGGGUGAGUCGACCCCUAAGGCGAGGCCGAAAGGCGUAGUCGAUGGGAAACAGGUUAAUAUUCCUGUACUUGGUGUUACUGCGAAGGGGGGACGGAGAAGGCUAUGUUAGCCGGGCGACGGUUGUCCCGGUUUAAGCAUGUAGGCUGGUUGUCCAGGCAAAUCCGGAUAAUCAAGGCUGAGGUGUGAUGACGAGGCACUACGGUGCUGAAGUAACAAAUGCCCUGCUUCCAGGAAAAGCCUCUAAGCAUCAGGUAACAUCAAAUCGUACCCCAAACCGACACAGGUGGUCAGGUAGAGAAUACCAAGGCGCUUGAGAGAACUCGGGUGAAGGAACUAGGCAAAAUGGUGCCGUAACUUCGGGAGAAGGCACGCUGGUGUGUAGGUGAAGUCCCUGCGG
Molecule: ribosomal RNA, 1605 nt
Filed under: Klebsiella pneumoniae subsp. pneumoniae
Lineage: Bacteria; Pseudomonadati; Pseudomonadota; Gammaproteobacteria; Enterobacterales; Enterobacteriaceae
Description: partial 23S ribosomal RNA
Rfam family: Bacterial large subunit ribosomal RNA
Source: RNAcentral